Molecule: transfer RNA, 62 nt
Filed under: Hermissenda emurai
Lineage: Eukaryota; Metazoa; Mollusca; Gastropoda; Nudibranchia; Glaucidae
Description: tRNA-Tyr
Source: RNAcentral
AUUUUGAUGGCUGAAUUUAGGCGAUAGAUUGUAAAUCUAUUUAUGGCGAAAGUCUCGAAGUU